This 731-nucleotide ribosomal RNA is filed under the name Najas gracillima. Its description in RNAcentral is "eukaryotic LSU rRNA". The stretch from base 302 to 457 matches the Rfam family "5.8S ribosomal RNA". Lineage: Eukaryota; Viridiplantae; Streptophyta; Magnoliopsida; Alismatales; Hydrocharitaceae. The record is from RNAcentral.
AACCUGCGGAAGGAUCAUUGUCGACGCGUUGAGAGAACGAAGCGAAUCGGUGACCAGAUUGUAGGGUGGCCUAGGGGCAGCUUCUGCUGCCUCUGCCGGCCCCCUCUCCCUCUGCGCUCGUCUUUCCCGCCUCCCCCUGCUCGCGGGGGGCAGGCCGGGUCCGCACGAGCCUCAACGAACCCUCGACGCGGGCCGCGUCAAGGACUACCGGAUUGACCAUUACAGGGCGCGACCCCAGCUGGGCCUCGUCUCCGUGCGAUGCGCAUGCUGCUUCGCGUCCCUGUCGGAACAUGAUAAUGAUGACUCUCGGCAACGGAUAUCUAGGCUCUCGCAUCGAUGAAGAACGUAGCGAAAUGCGAUACUUGGUGUGAAUUGCAGAAUCCCGUGAACCAUCGAGUCUUUGAACGCAAGUUGCGCCCGGAGCCGUCAGGCCGAGGGCACGUCUGCCUGGGCGUCGCACGUACCUUCGCUCCUCUGCCCGCACCUUCCGGAUGCGCGGUUCGGGGAGUCGGAUAUUGGCCAUCCGUGCGGUGGAAUCACGGUUGGCUUGAUGUCUGCCUGCAUGCGCGUCCGCAUCACGACGGGUGGUGAUCGUUCAUGAGAUGCCCGUGUACGUCGUGAUCGUCGCGCUGCCUUUUUCCCAUUGGUCGCCCGUCGGAACAAGGGCACGUUACCGUGCCCUCCCCAACCGUACGGACCCCAGGUCAGGCGAGGCCACCCGCUGAGUUUAA